AUAAACUCUUUUUAUAUGUCAAAGAAUUCAUAAUAUCUUGAUAGUAUAUCGUGUCUCUUUCUUAUCUGAUGACAGGAGCGAUGUUUUCAAGUAUAAGCUCCUCACGGUCCCGAGGUAGCCUUGAUUAGGAGUUUCCAUCAAUGCUGGCCUUUCCAGGGAAGGAUGUGUGGAGAGCUUUUAGGGAAAUGGUCUGCACAGAGGAUCCAUUGGUCUGGAUUCCAGCCCAACCAUCUUCCCUAAUGCCGCCUCUGCUCAAUCUACAGCCAUUAUCCACACACAUCAGCUUCCCGCUCUUUUCAGUUCUGGGUCUGCCUAAAACAAACGCGCACCCCUUCCAAUCUACCAUAUUGGAUCUGCACAUUUCUGCUUCUCACCACCAAAGCUGUAAAAAUGUAGCAGAUAUCAGGGGUAUGUUUUUGAUAAUUUAGACAUUAAUUACCAUUUUUCUAUUAAAAAUAUGUUGUUUGUACCCUGAAAUUCAACAGGCUGCUAGCUUUUGUAUUUUCAUUGAAGCACUGUUGUUAUGUAUACUUUACGGAAGGUGGCUGAGUCACCUAACGAAACACUGAGUGUGGUAAUGUAUUUGUGUUGCAACAUCAAUAAAGUUUGGUUCACUUCUUCCAA
Long non-coding RNA from Micropterus salmoides (largemouth bass), 624 nucleotides. RefSeq lists it as uncharacterized. NCBI's taxonomy places the organism in Eukaryota, Metazoa, Chordata, Actinopteri, Centrarchiformes, Centrarchidae. The record is from RefSeq and is a predicted model, not a curated record. The transcript is spliced from 2 exons.